RNAcentral lists this ribosomal RNA (323 nucleotides) under Rhizophagus irregularis. Lineage: Eukaryota; Fungi; Glomeromycota; Glomeromycetes; Glomerales; Glomeraceae. The record is from RNAcentral.
CAGUCGUACUUACGGGUAAUCAGCCUUUUGGGUGUGAUUUUGUGGAGCGUGAGGAGUUAAACGCCUUCAUGCCUGCAUAUUCGUGCACUUUGGGUGUACUUGCCCGUGUGUAAGUUAACAUCAAUUUUGGUGGUCAUAAAAUGGCUGGAGGAAUGUAGCUUCGAUCUUGUAUUGAAGUGUUAUAGCCUUUGGUAGAUGUGAUGUUUGAGACCGAGGAUUGCAACGGAUACCCCUUCAGGGCUAUUCGUCUGAUCUCUGAUACGUUGCCUUGAUGUUGAAGCUUGCUUAUGAUGUUAGGGUAUUACGGUCAAAAGGUUAGAACG